RNAcentral lists this long non-coding RNA (28604 nucleotides) under Fragaria vesca (wild strawberry). RNAcentral describes it as "long non-coding RNA (FVES_LNC003855)". The record is from RNAcentral. Lineage: Eukaryota; Viridiplantae; Streptophyta; Magnoliopsida; Rosales; Rosaceae.
GGAAACACAAGACUAUGCGGAGGCAUUUCUGAUCUCCACCUUCCAGAGUGCAAGUUUAAAGAAUCGAGGUGGUCUCGUAGCAAGAAACUAACAAUCUCAUUAGUCUCCGCAUUCACUGUUCUUGGAGUAGCUACGCUGCUGACGUUUCUUUUUCUUUGCUUCUUGAAAAAGAGAAGCAAAGAAACUCCAUCAAGCAUAUUGGCGAACUCUGUUUUACAAGUGUCGUAUAGUGCUCUCUUGAAAGCUACUGAUGGCUUCUCUGCAUCAAAUUUGAUUGGUGCUGGUAGUUUUGGUUCUGUAUACAAAGGAAUUCUUGGUGAAGAUGAAGAACAACUUGUUGCUGUGAAGGUUUUUAACAUGUUACGCCGGGGAGCUUCCAAGAGUUUCCUAGUUGAAUGUGAGACACUCAGAAAUAUCAGACACCGAAAUCUAGUCCCGAUUAUAACUACAUGUUCCAGUGUGGACUCUCAUGGUAAUGAUUUCAAGGCUUUGGUUUAUAAGUUCAUGGAGAAUGGGAGCUUAGAGGAGUGGCUGCAUCCAACUACUGAGACAGAAGACACACCAAAGAGUUUAAGUCUUGUUCAGAGGCUAGACAUUACCAUUGACGUUGCAUGUGCAGUGGAUUAUCUUCAUAAUCAUUGCGAAACACCAAUAGUUCAUUGCGAUCUCAAGCCGAGCAAUGUUCUUUUGGACCGCGACUUGACAGGACAUGUUGCUGAUUUUGGAUUAGCUAGAAUCCUCUCAAGACUAGUUGAUAACUUUUCAGCAAAUCAAUCAAGUUCCAUUGGAAUAAGAGGGACUGUUGGUUAUGCUGCUCCAGGUUAUUUUGUGCUAAUAUUUUUUUUUUGUAGUUUCAUCAAUGAGAGUUGUUUUUGUUAACAAUUGUGAUGUUUGAAAGCAGAGUAUGGAAUGGGAAGUGAGGUUUCAACAUAUGGAGAUGUCUACAGCUUCGGCAUUCUCUUGUUAGAGAUGUUUACAGGGAAGAGGCCUACUGACCACAUCUUCAUGGAUGGUUUGAACCUUCACAAGUGUACGAAGAUGGCCAUUGAGGAACGAGUUUCAGAGAUUGCAUAUUCAUCACUUGUUCAAGAAGGCAAUCUAAGGCAGAGCACCAAUGAUGCUCUUGAAGAAUGCUUGAGUUCAAUACUAGCAAUUGGAGUUGCAUGCUCUGUGGAAUCCCCAACAGACCGAAAGAUUAUCAAGGAUGCUGUGUCUGAACUAAAAAAGAUUCGAGCGACUCUUGUUGGAUAGAAACUUUGCUAUUAUUUUGUUAUGGCUUUCACUUCCUAUCAUGCUUUUAUGUGCUGCGUGCUUUAGUUUCACGUUUUGUUGCUGCUAUAUGUGCUAUAAAGUUAUGUUUAGUUCUCUAUUUCUCUAGUUGUAUCUUAAUUCCUAUACCGUUUCAAGUUUGGUUGUUUGCUUUUAUCUUCCUUUAGUUUUAGUUCAAUUUUAAAUUAAUAAUGCAAUAGGAAUAGCUGAUAUGCAGUCGAUCAGUUGAUAUGAGGCACUGAAUAAUGCCUAAAUCUGAAACAGCUAAUGAGCUACAAUAUCAGUGUGUGAGAGAUUUGUAAAGAGAGGAGUAAAAUGAAGUAUGUUUGCUCAAAAUGAUCAAGUUCAAGAAAGUCUGUUUCUUUUUCAUCCUUUCGAUAUACAAAUCUUUCACAAAAAUGAUGACAGAAUGAUACAGCAAUAUACCACAUUUCCAUGAAAAAGAAGAGAAAUUGUAUGUUUAAUUUACCAAGACUGUUUUGGUUCCAGCAGACUUAACUUCUUAGGUAGAUCAGUGCUUACACUCCUUACAGCUUCAGCAAAAUCCUGAUCCUCAAAAUAUCACCUCGGCUCCUCUUAGGCAUAUUGGUCAACGUCAUUGGUUUGUGGCCAUACUAGUUGCUCAUCCCCACACUGCAUGAUACAACAAACAAAUAGUGUGAGCUACAUCUCAAAACACUUCAAAAACAUAUAUUUGGAAAACUAGUAUAUCCAUAAUUCCAUAUGUAUCAAUAAUCAAACGAUUUUCUUAUAUAUAAAAAUAAGAAUAACAAUCAACAACAUAAAAGAUUGCACGUCACACAUCAAUAUUGUGAGUAACACUUAUAUGCUCAAUGAUAUACUUUGAUAUAACUAUCGAAUAUUUGUAAUUUUUUUCGAUGAAUUUGUAAUCCUAUGUCUCAUUAUUAUUCGACACCGACCCGAAAAAUGAUCCAGCAAGAACACGAAACUCGUACUAUUUGGGUUGGGCCUGAAGAAGUUACUGUUCACCGAUAUCUAUAUAAAUACACCAUCGUCCUAUUUUUACCGCACUCUUUUAGUUUUCGUCUUCAACCACAUCUCUCUCUUCUUCUUCGAUUUGAAAAUCCAUGGAGGCCAUCCAACCAAACCCUACCGAAACCCUAGAUCACCAACCCGCCUCCAACAAACCACAACCCCCCGGAUUCUCUAGUCUCCAACUACAAGGACCCGUCCCCGCCGCCAUCGCAAACCCUAGCCUCCCACGCCGCCUCCAAGAACGGCACUCCGGCCGACGCCAGCAAGGCGGUCGCUCUGUUGAUCUCUGUUGAUCUCGGCACACGUAAAGCGGCACGACCAACACGCAAAUUUACCAUCUUCUAUAAGUUAGUUUUGUGAGGCCUCGAAUGAAACUCACAAAUUUUCACAACCUCAUAACCGAUACAAAAUGGUGAAUGUGAAACUGACCCCAACAUACUUGCUCUCCCAUACACCAGCACUACUACUAGUAGUAGCAUUUGCUUUUGUUUGUUGCUGCAGCUCCAUGGCCUCAAGCACGGACAACAAUAAGUUGGAGCUUGGACGAGGAAACUAGACGGAUAGGCUCGCACUGCUCGCCAUUAAAGCUCAAAUACACCAAGAUCCAAACAGGCUGUUUUGGCCAUGAUCCUCAGCAGGGAGCAGAGAAGUAACUAGUGCUACCAAAAGUAAACUAGGGUUUCAGGGCAUGCCACUGCGCGGACGCGGGAUGUGAACUGUGCGCGUUCUUAACUUCUAACCAGGCGAAAGGGAGCUCCGGUGUCACCUUGCGGACGAGGAAUUACGAGCAAAACCUCUUAGUCACCUGUGAAUCGAUACUCACUGUUAGAGCGAGCAGAGCAACAAUUAGGAAAGAAAGGCGAGUCCAGUCGGGCUCUGAGAACUAAGGCGUGGUGCAAUUAGAACUUUAAGGUUUCGAGGAUGCUCGAGAGUUUGUAAGUAGUUUUUGUAUGAUUUGAUUGUAUGUUCUUAGACCAGAUCCUCAAACUCCCUUAUAUAGCGAUCCGCAAAUAGUUGGCAAAGACAUAAUCACAAACCCACUCGGACUUAGCAAUUAGAAUUCCACAAGGAUACAACCAGCUCGCGAACCGCGCUAUCCAUGCGACAUGUGUCCAGAACAGACUUCACUUAGGUCUCACUCACCGCCCCGCAUCAUCUUACUGUAGCGUUGUAUGCGAACUUCGAACACUAAGCGAUCUUAUCCCACGAGGUGCUACAGUCCCUUUCCAACUCUACCUCGCCAUGCACUACGGAAUCCUACGCGAACUGAAACGAGGAUCUCGCGAGGUAUCGAAGUCCUUGACAAAUUCCACCUCGCGCGCUGUCAGAGCGCGCCACCCUACAUGGGCUUCAUAUCUAAAAAAGGGCCACAGGUACUGGCCCAAAUGUUAUCCAAAACUUAUUGCGAGUCUUGGACCAAAAUCCCCGCUGGGCUCAAACACAGGCCUGUGAUGAGUUCGUGGAAUGAGUCCACUCAAUUUUGCAUGUGGUAUCGUGUCACUUGUAGCCGACGACAUCUUUAGAGGGUCACUAGGCUGAACCUAACUUCCCUGAAGUUAUCCGGGUCCAUAUCUCCUCACAUAGGAAGCCUGAGCUUCUUAAGGGAGUUAUGCCUCUAUAAUAAUAGCUUCACCAACAAAAUUCCUGCAGAAAUUGGGCACUUGCGGAGAUUGCAGAAAUUACGUCUAGGAAACAACUCACUAAGUGGUCCUAUUCCUGCCAAUAUCUCCAAUUGCUUCAACCUCAGAAUCUUCGAUGUUCAUAAGAACAUGCUAGUAGGUAACAUUCCUCCAGAACUUGGUUCCUUGUCUAAGCUUGAGUAUCUUGUUUUGCAAGUUAAUAAUUUAACAGGAGAGGUACCUCCUCCCUUGGGUAACCUUUCUAAUCUUGAAGCACUUGAUUUUCAUAAGAAUAACUUGGUGGGUAAUAUUCCUAGUUCUCUAGGCCAACUGAAAAAAAUUAACAUUUUUUGGAGUAGAGCACAAUAGGUUGUCUGGUACCAUCCUCCCUCCAUCUACAACAUAUCCAGUCUCGUUACUUUUGCCAUAUCAGACAACCAAAUUCAAGGGAGCAUUCCCCCAUCCUUGUUCAGACCCCUUUCGAAUCUCCAAUAUUUUAGCAUCUACGAAAAUAACUUUUUAGGAUCACUUCCUCUCUCAAUAAGCAAUGCCACUAAUCUGGUGGACUUCGAAGUUGAUGAGAAUAAACUGACAGGACAAGUGCCAAAUUUACAAAAGCUUCGUAACCUUGUGUUCUUCAAUAUUGUUGGUAAUCAUCUCGGAAGUGACAGUGAUGGGGACUUAAGUUUUUUCUCAGACUUGACCAAUGCCACGCAGUUGGAGUGGCUGGAAAUAGGAUUCAACAAAUUCGGAGGAACGUUGCCCGCAUCAUUAUCUAAUCUCUCAACCCUUGAAAUUCUACAUGUUGUGCACAACCGUUUACACGGAAGCAUCCCUGCAGGGAUAGGGAAUAUGGUCCACUUGAACCAAUUGAAUUUGGGUGAUAACAUGUUCACAGGUAAUAUUCCCACUGACAUCGGGAAGCUUUCAGGUAUUCGGAUAUUGGAAUUUGGAAACAACAGAUUAUUCGGGAGCCUCCCAUCCUCUCUAGGAAAUCUGACAUCAUUACUUCGUCUCGAAUUGCAAGGAAAUCACUUUAAUGGCACCAUCCCUAGAAGCCUCGGGGAAUGCCGUUCAUUGCUGCUGUUGAAUCUUUCUUGUAAUAACCUUAGUGGCGACAUCCCUCCACAAGUUAUUGGCCUUUCCUCCUUAUCAAUAUAUUUGGAUUUGUCCGAGAAUCGUCUCAGUGGUUCUCUUCCCUUGGAGGUAGGAAAGUUAAAAACUCUAGGUAUAUUAAAUGUCUCUAAUAAUAUGUUAUCAGGAAAACUUCCUGGUAGCUUUGGUAGUUGUGAGAGUUUGGAAGUCCUGCUCAUGCGAGGAAACUUCUUUGACGGCCCCAUUCCUUCAGCUUUGGGCUCCUUGAAAGGGAUUCGAGAGUUAGACCUUUCCCACAACAAUCUCUCUGGUGAGAUUCCUGAGUUUCUAGCGGGGCUUGGAGGUUUGAAGCAACUUAACUUGUCUUUCAAAGAAUUUUGGGGUGCACUGCCAGUUAGAGGUGUCUUUAACAAUACAAGUGCCAUUUCAGUUGUCGGAAACACAAGACUUUGCGGAGGUAUUUCUGAUAUCCACCUUCCAAAGUGCAAGUUUAAAGAAUCGAGGUGGUCUCGUAGCAAGAAACUAACAAUCUCAUUAGUCUCCGCAUUCACUGUUCUUGGAGUAGCUAUGCUGUGGACGUUUCUUUUUCUUUGUUUCUUGAAAAAGAGACGCAAAGAAACUCCAUCAAGCUCAUUGGCGAACUUUGUUUUACAAGUGUCGUAUAGUGCUCUCUUGAAAGCUACUGAGGGCUUCUCUGCAGCAAAUUUGAUUGGUGCUGGUAGUUUUGGGUCUGUAUACAAAGGAAUUCUCGGCGAAGAUGGAGCUCAUCUUGUUGCUGUGAAGGUGUUUAACAUGUUACGCCGGGGUGCUUCGAAGAGUUUCCUAGCCGAAUGCGAGGCACUCAGAAAUAUAAGACACCGAAAUCUAGUCCCGAUUAUAACUGCAUGUUCAAGUGUGGACUCUCAUGGUAAUGAUUUCAAGGCUUUGGUUUAUAAGUUCNNNNNNNNNNNNNNNNNNNNNNNNNNNNNNNNNNNNNNNNNNNNNNNNNNNNNNNNNNNNNNNNNNNNNNNNNNNNNNNNNNNNNNNNNNNNNNNNNNNNNNNNNNNNNNNNNNNNNNNNNNNNNNNNNNNNNNNNNNNNNNNNNNNNNNNNNNNNNNNNNNNNNNNNNNNNNNNNNNNNNNNNNNNNNNNNNNNNNNNNNNNNNNNNNNNNNNNNNNNNNNNNNNNNNNNNNNNNNNNNNNNNNNNNNNNNNNNNNNNNNNNNNNNNNNNNNNNNNNNNNNNNNNNNNNNNNNNNNNNNNNNNNNNNNNNNNNNNNNNNNNNNNNNNNNNNNNNNNNNNNNNNNNNNNNNNNNNNNNNNNNNNNNNNNNNNNNNNNNNNNNNNNNNNNNNNNNNNNNNNNNNNNNNNNNNNNNNNNNNNNNNNNNNNNNNNNNAAGAACGCUUGAGUUCAAUACUAGAAAUUGGAGUUGCAUGCUCUAUGGAAUCUCCACCAGACCGCAAGAAUAUCAGUGAUGUUGUGUCUAAGCUGAAAAAGAUUCGAGCCACUCUUGUUGGAUAGAAAGUUAAAUGUGCUAUUAUUUUGUUAUAGCUUUCCCUGCCCUUCACUCUUUUAUUUGCUGCCUAUUUUCAAGUCUUGUUGCUCGUAUAUAUGCAUGAAUAAAGUUUAGGUAAAAUACUAUAUCUUUUGUUCUGUGAGGCCUUGAUUUAGAGAGGCGCUUUCAUGCUUUUAUUUGCUGCCUAUUUUCAAGUCUUGUUGCUCUUAUAUAUGCAUGAAUAAAGUUUAGGUAAAAUAGAGAUAUACAGUAGAGAUAUCAUUUUCCACCCAAUUUUCCUAGUUUGGUUUAAGGAAUGUAAAGGAAAGGAAAGGAAAGGAAAUCUUUUAUUUUUCCUUUGACAAGGAAAAGGAAAGGAAAGUGAAUCCUUAGGGUGGGGGGAGAGAACCAUUUUCCACCCAUUUUUUCUUUCAUGUGGGAACCAUUUUCCUUGCCCACUCUUUUCCUUUUGGUUUCCAAACAAUGGAAAGUAAUGACUUUCCUUUCCCAAUGGCUUGAUUCCAUGAACAAAAGAGGUUAAAAAAUUCAGUAUAUAGAGAUAUAUUAUAGUAUAAUUAUAUAGAGAUAUCAUCCUUAUCUCAACAAUGCAUAUACAUAUACAGUACUAAACUACAAGGCAAAUUACAGAAGUGAAACUACCAUAACCAUUUUCAAACCUGGCAUCGAAAGUUUGAACAAGGGGCAUUCUUCCAAGGAGGGAGAUGAGAUCAUUGACACACUUGUUGCUACUCUUGCUGUGCCUUUUCAUACUGCUAAUUCCUGAAGAUCCAAGCUCGUAUACCUUCCCUGCAUUGUCUAUGUCCCCAACUUAAACAUCGAGUUUGCUAGAGGGAAUCAGGCAUGAAUUUAGCACCAACAGCUCAGAACUACUAUGACACAGUUCAGACAUUGCCAAGAACAGAUACCAAAUCUUAUUGUAAAUAGGGGAUUCAAAUUUCGAGUUUCUAAGAGUCGUUGGCUUAGUGGGAAAUUUAUAUGAAACUAGCAUCAGUUACAUCAAUUUCAUGUGAAGUACUGAAUGAAAAGGUUCACAUUUUCACAAAUAAAAGAGGAAGUUGUCAAACAAGUAAAAGGCUGUCCAUAUGAGUACACAAAUUUCACACUAGAGGCCAGAUCAAUAACAACAGAAGUCUUUGAUGAAUGCAGCAUAUACUGACUAUGCCUAGGACAAACUAUUGUGAAAUGUUCUAUCGUUAGAGUGAUUCAUAAGCUUGCUUCGAAAAGAAAGAGAAUUUAAGCCUAUAUGAGUUUAUAGUUUAGAGUCAAUUAGACAAUGCCACAAAUCAUGAGCCUAAAAUCCAGUCAUGUAAAGACAACGAAAUGCGAAAGUACCUUUCACCCAGAUACUGUGGCAUUAGAACAAGCAAGGACACUGCAAUAUCUUCACAAUUUCUGCAUAAGCACAUUAGAUCGAUAAUCAAUCUAUAAUACCAGGGCAAGCACAUAAGAAAACGACGUAAGUCAACAUGAUAUCGUAUCACAUUGGUACCAAAUAUUCAGAACAAAAAUUAUAAAAGACAUUAGUAACAAGAAAUAUGCCAGACGAGACAAUCACAUGAAUAAAUUCUAUAGAAAAGAAACCAGGGAAUACUUUCUCUACAGUAAAGAACUUACCUGUUUUCUUUGUAUUGAUUGAAGAAAUGAAACGGAGGGAAUGAAAUAGAAGAGAAGAGAAUGCGCAAACACCUGAAAUGGGUGGAGCCGAUUCUCGUCUCUGCUGUGUUUGGCAGAGAAAGGAAGAAGACCCAGCACGAGUGGGAGUGAACGACAUGUCGCCGCACAGUCAUACUGUUGUAUUUCCUAUAUCCACACUUAGCUAUAUGUUAAUCUGUAUUUUCUCUUUACUGAUAUUGCCCCGUUGUAGAAGCAACUCAAGCGCGCAAGUCAAGUCGUCUUUGGGAACUAGAGGAACCUGACACGUUACUUUGAACUUUUGACCAAUUAACCAAAGUGUCUGAACGCAGAUUUACCAUCUUCUAUAAGUUCCAUUGGAAUAAGAGGGACUGUUGGUUAUGUUGCUCCAGGUCUGUAAUUACAUGUUAUUUUGUACUACUAAUUUUUUUUUGUAGCUAGCUAGGGUAGUUUCAUCAAUGAGAGCUGUUUUUGUUAACAACUGUGAUGUUUGAACCGCAGAGUAUGGAAUGGGAGAAGUGAGGUUUCGACAUAUGGAGAUGUCUACAGCUUCGGUAUUCUCUUGUUAGAGAUAUUUACAGGGAAGAGACCAACUGACCACAUCUUCAUGGACAAUUUGAACCUUCAUAAGUGUGUGAAGAUGGCCUUGGGCAAACGAGUUUCAGAGAUUGCAGAUUCGUCACUUGUUCAAGAAGGCAAUCCGAGGCAGAGCAUCAACGAUGCUCUUGAAGAAUGAUUGAGUUCAGUAUUAGGUAUUGGAGUUGCAUGCUCUGUGGAAUCCCCAACAAAGCGAAAGAAUAUCGGUGAUGUUGUGUCUGAACUGAAAAAGAUUCAAGCAACGUACUCUUGUUGGAUAGAAACUUUGCUAUUGUUCUGUUAUGGCUUUCACUGCCUAUCAUGCUUUUAUGUGUUGCGUGCUGUAAUUUCAUGUUUGCUGUUGUUAUAUGUGCUUCAAUAAAGUUAUGUAUACAUUAUGUUUAGUUCUCUAUUUCUCUAGUUGUAUCCUAAUUCCUAUACCGUUUCAAGUUUUGUUGUUUGCUUUUAUCUUCCUUUAGUUGUAGUUCAAUUUCUAGGCCAUUGAAUGAAUAAUGCAAUAGGAAUAGCUGAUAUGAGGCAAUGAAUAAUGCCUAAAUUUGAAACAGCUACUGAGCUACGUACAAUAUCAGUGUGUGAGAGAUAUGUAUGGUUUUGGUGGAGAGCUGAUAUGAGGCAAUAGAUGAUGUACAUGAUUGGGAUUUCCAAGGCGACAAUGAGUUUUAGGCACUUCUCUUGGUGUUCUUUCCUUUCUGCAAGUCUCUAGCUACAGUACUUAUCACAUAUUUAUGUUCAGUUUCUUGAUGCAAGUCUCAAGUUUCUUCCCAGGCAGCCUGUGUAAUCAGAUAUCCAUGUUAAUCCACAAUAUGGCAUCUUAACGUACUCUGAGAUUAGUUAAACUAUUAAUGCUAGUAAACUGGGUUAAAUUUUAAUAGCCCGCCACAACUCUUUUGGGAUUAUUUUUCUUCAUUGACCUACUGGUGAGAGCAGAUCCUACUAGUGUGGGAUCUUAACUGAUUUGUGAUCCUUAAAACUUCAAAAGCUGAAUAAUUGGAGUCACGCACUCACGCAUAGACUACAACAUUUCUAGUCACUAUAACAAAAUGGUGGAUGUGAAAUUGACCUCGUCUUUUUGCAUUCUUGCACUAGCAGGUUGCAGAAGCAAGUCAAUCGCCGACUGAAUUGACCUCAUGCUGUAAAAAGCAAAAUUACCAUGCAUAAUCCUAAUUGAAUCGAAUCCAAACCAAUUGCCGAUUUUGCCGCCAAGUCAUCAUCUUCCAUUGCAGCACAGCCAACCUCACCAUCGAACAGCCUAGCCGAUUAUAACAGUAGCAAUGGUGGGUUGUGAAGAACAAAGAUAUAUUAUACUAAGCAUUUGUAUGUCUCACAUUUACCAGUUUAAGUGGGAAAGUUUAUCACCAAGUGACAAUGUUCUAAAAGGCGGUAGGCGGGUAGUAACUCACAGCCUAGAGCCUAGACAGCCUAGGCGAGGAUUAGGCAGGGACUGAAAGGAUUCAAGGUUUAUUGAAAUGAAAUGCAAAACACUACAUCUUGUAUUUCAUCUUAAUCAUGAACAAUGUACAUCUCAUAGCUUUUAUAGGUAGGGAUUCUAUACAAAUGACCGAACUACCCUUAUACUCUUAACACCCUCCCUCAACCAUAUGCUUGGCUAAGCAUAAUGGUUGGCACAAAGCAAACAACCAAAAAAUACAGAUGUAGAAUCCAUUACAAAACUAUUAACCCAAAUCAAAAACCCAACUACUUGAUAUCAAAAGAGCAUCCAUCUUGACAUUCGGCUAUCAAAGGAGGAUAAGAGAGCUUGCUGGAAAAUUUCACAGUUCACAUGGAAAAUAGUGCAACAAUACAUGAAGCAUCCUUGGCAACACAUAGCAGCAAAGAUGUAUAACUAAAAGUCCAAAUCUGAAAACUUCAUAUUUUUAACACAUUGAAAAGCUUCAUUUGCUGGAAAAAAAAAACUACAUCUUUUCCUUCAAUUGUAUACUAAUAAACUGCAUAUGUCACUUAAUGCAUCAACUUUUAUAGGCACUACACACUUGCAAAUCCAAUUGAUAUAUGGCCUCAAUAUACUUAGCAUUCCAUCAGAAUAUUACCAGCAGCUCCCAUAUUUAUAUAUCGGCAACACAAUCCAAACUUAAGAAUCUGACUUAAUAUUGAAAAUGCAUAUGCACUCUAGCAGCUCAUAACUAACUUAACUCCUCUCUACACUUGAAUUGACUCCUCAAAGCUUUGCAUACGACCCAAACUCCUUCGCAGCAAUAUAACAAAGGCAGUAAACACAACAAAUUCCUAUCAAAUAGGAAAACAUCCUCCAAAACUGAUCACACCCAGCACAUAGAACCAUACAACCAAUUUAUAAUCCAACUUGCCAAACCAAUUCACCAGGCCAAAACAGAAUAUUAAACUACUUCAUCACCUUCUUCUUUUGGUUGAUGGCAGACACAAAUUUUGAUAAAAGAAAAAAAAAGGCAAAUUGAUGAUAUUAACAGGGCAAAUUAAACCAGAAACCAAUUCUACAAAUCCAAUGAUAGGGAUGCAAAAAAAUUAGGAAGAUAUUACCCAUCCUACUGAAAAAUCUGAUGCUAACUGAGGUGGGUGCGUAAGAAAUUGAUAAGCCAAAGCACAAUCAUGAUAUCAAACAAAGAUAGCCUCAAAUCACCAUCAGAAAUCGAAGCCCAGAAUAUCCAUCUCUCACCGUCAAAUCACCUCCCCCCACUGCUACAUCCAACUAGAUCAAAGCAAUAAGCACAAAGAAGAGAGAGAGUCUAGUACCAAAAUUUGAGCCCAUAGAUUGCAGAUCGAAGAAUAAGAUCAGAAUAGACCACGACGAAGUCGAGGACCAAAACUCCAAAGUCGCGAACAGAGGUGCGCCGAUGAGGCCGGAAAACAACCGAGAUGGUCUCCAUCAAUGACCGAUUUUCGAUCUAAGGACUGCACGGGUCUGAAUUUGGAAGGCAUGAGGCUAGGGUUUUGAUAUUGGGGAAAACUGAAAAGAAGGCUAUGAAAACUAAAAACGCGGAAGCAAUCGAAGCACACAGCCACAAGAAUGUGACCAUGGCUCUGAUACCAUGAAAGGAUUCAAGGUUUAUUGAAAUGAAAUGUAAAACAGUAAUGUAAAAAAGCAGAGCUCUGACGGACUACAUCUUGUAUUUCAUCUUAAUCAUGAACAGUGUACAUCUCAUAGCUUUUAUAGGGUAAGAAUUCUAUGCAAAUGACUGAACUAUCCUUAUACUCUUAACAAGGACUAGACGAUUUAUAUUUUUUAAGAUUUAUUAAUUAAAAAUAUAUAUUUUAUGCAAUUUAAUAUUUAAAAAUGUUAAAUAUAGAUAAAUUAUUCAACAUAAAUCUAGUCAUACCUAUUUAUAAAAUAAAUAAUAGCUAAAAUGUGACAUUACUUCCCGUAAAAAUGAGCAACAACAACAAUAAACAUAUACUUCUAAUUUUAAACACAUCAUUAACUCUCAUACUCUCCACAAUAUAACAAUCUCAUCACAAAAAGAAAACAAAAUUAGCCGGAGAACUUAAUAGCCUAGGCGGGCUAGGCAGCAUUUAGGUGGGAUAAGCGGCCGCCUAAUCGCCCACAGCUUGACACAAAGGCCUCGAAGAAAAGCGAGGCGGCUUGUUGCAGCCUAGAGCCUAGGCGGGGACUAGGUGGUCCUAGGUAGGGCCUUUUAGAAGCUUGCCAAGUGAUAAUGGUGUUAUAUUAUCUUACAAGUCACGAAAGAAACAUCUCCUUAGGACCUUAGCAAACUUUUAUUGUAGUGGAAGCACGUCUUUGGAAAUUUGAGCUGGCCAACACUUCUUGAUCGUCCUUCACUUCAAACUUUCAACCAACCAAAGUGCCUGUGGUCAUGUAUUUCCACAUGAUCAAUCGACAUUAAUGUCAAGUCAAGUCGCCGGAACCAAGUCAAGUCGUCGUCUUUGCAAAUUAAGCAAGUCAAGUCGUAUUCGGAAACCAAGUCAUCAGUCCACUGCUAGAUUGUUCGUUACAUCAAACUAUUAGUGUUCUGAACCCAAAUAUUCACAACCCCAUAACGAAUUCAAAAAUCAAAAUGGUGGAAGUGAAAUUGACCUGAACCUCAACAUGCUUGCUUUCCAAUCCACAAGCACUAGUACAUGUACUAGCAUUUGCUCUUCUCUAUUGCUGCAGUUCCAUGGCCUCAACCUCUCUAGGAAACGAGACGGAUAGGCUGGCAUUGCUUGCCAUUAAAGCUCAAAUACAUCAAGACCCUAAUCGGCCGGUCAUGAACUCAUGGAAUGAGUCCACUCAUUUUUGCAUGUGGUAUGGUGUCACAUGCGGCCGACGCCAUCUUCAGAGGGUCACUAAGCUGGACCUUCGCUCCUUGAAAUUGUCCGGGUCCGUAUCUCCUCACAUAGGAAAUCUGAGCUUCCUAAGGGCGUUAUACCUCUUUGAUAAUAGCCUCACCAACAAAUUCCCUCCAGAAAUUGGGCACUUGCGGAGGUUGUAUCGUUUAUGUCCCCAACUUAAACAUCAAGUUUACUAGAGGGAAGCAGGCAUGAAUUUAGCACCAAAAGCUCAUAACUACUAUGACACUGUUCAGGCAUAGCCAAGAAUAGAUACCAAAUCCAAUUGUAACGAGGGGAUUCAAAUUUCGAGUUCCUAAGAGUCGUUGGCUUAGUGGGAAGUUUAUAUGAAUUUAUAUGUAACUAGCAUCAUGAACAUCAAUUUUAUGUGAACUCAGAUUUUAAGUAUUAUCCCGAGCAACUUUGUCUUUAAAUCGUUGAGGAGCACUUAUUUUUGGAAUUGAUGAGAACACAAAAGUAAAUGUUGCAUACAACAGAAUCAUCCAUGUAUAAUGCAACUCCAUAUAGAAACUCUCAAAGUUAACUCCGAAAACAACCAUCCAGACAAGGCUUAAGUACAAAAUUAUUAGAGCGUAUAAUGCAUAGAACAAUUUCUGGCCCUCUUAUCUUCUGUUUCAGAUGUGUCUGUACACGUACUGAAACAUAAUAAUCCCUAGCCUGCAAUGAUAACUUAUGUCAAGUUUUCAUGAUAUGGGUUAACCAAAUGACGAUCUUAAUUUAUAGUAAAUCAAAUCCCACUGAAUGGUAAGUUACCUUCAUUUCAUUCACAACAUCCACUGCGAAAACAGUCAAAACAUCUCAGCAAUAAUCACAUCAGCUCAAACAAAACAAAACGUUGAUUCAAAUUUAAAAUUAAAAACCGAAACAAAGUUAAGCUGCUAUUUGGAAAUGAACAGGAUCAGUCGUAAUCACAAUCCUUACAUUUCUUCGGAGAGCUCAGCACGAGGGUUUGAAUCAAAGCAACGCUGAGAAGAAGACUAGGGAUUCGAUUUCUUCGAAAUUCGACAUCAGCAUUGCAUGGAAUUUGGAUCAGUUUCAAAAUUAUGUUCUGAUCAAGCACUUCACUGAUGUGCUUAUCGAGAAACUCGCGUAGUCAUAAUCAUAUCUAAUUUCUUCAUACAAUUGUUAAAAAUGGUUAGUAUAGUGAUAGCGCAAUUUCAAUGUUGGGUUGGAAUUUUAUGCCACAUAUCAACUGUCUUCAUUUAUUGCGACAUAUAAUUUCGUCUACCAUGGGUUGGAAUUUCAUGCAAAGACUAGACUUUCGAAGUCUUUGGUGGGUGAAUUUGUGCCACCAUUGGAAUCAAGUGAAGUCAGUUAACACUGCAUGAUCGUCCGUUGCUUGAAACUUUCAACCAACCAAAGUGUGCGAUGCAGAUCAUCUGAUCCCGUAUGCCCCAUCCUAUAAUUAAGCUGGUUGUGUAUGGCCUCAAGUGGAGCUUACAAUUCUUCACAACCCCGUAACCAAUUCAAAAUGUUGUUUAUUUCGGGUAUGAAAAUCACCUCAUCUUACUUACUUUCCAAUGCACUAGUACUGGCAUUUGCUUUUGUUUGUUGCUGCAACUCCAUGGCCUUAAACAUGGACAGCAAUAGGCUAGAGCUUGGAAGAGGAAACGAGACGGAUCGGCUGGCAUUGCUUGCCAUUAAAGCUCAAAUACAUCAAGAUCCUAAUCGGCCGGUCAUGAGCUCCUGGAAUGAGUCCACUCAUUUUUGCAUGUGGUAUGGUGUCACCUGCAGCCGACGCCAUCUUCAGAGGGUCACUAAGCUGAACCUAACUUCCCUGAAGUUAUCCGGGUCCGUAUCUCCGCACAUAGGAAACCUUAGCUUCCUGAGGGAGUUACUCCUCUACAAUAAUAGCCUCACCAACAAAAUCCCUCCAGAAAUUGGGCACUUGCAAAGGUUGCAGAUAUUAAGUCUACGAAAGAAUUCACUCAAUGGUCCUAUUCCUACCAGUAUCUCCAAUCUCUUCAACCUCAGAAUCCUCGCUGUUCAAUACAACUUGCUGGUAGGUAACAUUCCUCCACAACUUGGUUCCUUGUCUAAGCUUGAGUUUCUUGGUUUGCAAGUUAAUAAUUUAACAGGAAAGAUAUCUCCUUUCUUGGGUAACCUUUCUAGUCUCGACUCACUUGUUGCUUAUGAGAAUAACUUGGUGGGAAGUAUUCCAAGUUCUCUAGGCCAACUGAAAAAAUUAACAUAUUUCGGACUAUACGCGAAUAGGUUGUCUGGUAACAUUCCUCCUUCCAUCUAUAAUAUCUCUAGUCUCCUUAAUUUUACCAUAUCAAGAAACCAAUUUCAAGGGAGCAUUCCCCCAUCCUUGUUCAGAACCCUUUCGAAUCUCCAAUAUUUUAGCAUUUUCGGAAAUCAGUUUACUGGAUCACUUCCUCUCUCAAUAAGCAAUGCUACUAAUCUAGCGGAAUUUCAAUUUCAAAAAAACAAACUAACAGGACAAGUGCCAAAUUUACAAAAGCUUCGUAACCUUAGGAAGUUAAACAUCGCUAGUAAUCAUCUCGGAAGUGGCAGUGAUGGGGACUUAAGUUUUUUAUCAGACUUGACUAAUGCCACGAGGUUGGAGUGGUUGCUAAUAGGAUACAAUAAUUUCGGAGGGAAAUUGCCCGCAUCAAUAUCUAAUGUCUCAACCCUUUCAGUUCUACAUGUUUUGAACAACCGUUUACAUGGAAGCAUCCCUGCAGGGGUAGGGAGUUUGGUCAACAUGAACAAAUUGUAUUUGGCUCAUAACAUGUUCACAGGUAAUAUUCCCACUGACAUCGGAAAGCUUUCAGGUCUUGGGAUAUUGAAAUUUGAUAACAACAGAUUAUCCGGGAGCCUCCCAUCCUCUGUGGGAAAUUUGACAACGUUAGUUCGACUCGAAUUGCAAGGAAAUAGUUUUAAUGGCACCAUUCCUGCAAGCCUUGGGGAAUGUCAUUCGUUGCUGCGGUUGGAUCUUUCUGGCAAUAACCUUACUGGCGAGAUUCCUCCACAAGUUAUUGGCCUUCAGUCCUUAUCAAUAUAUUUGGACUUGUCCGAAAAUCGUCUCAGUGGUUCCCUUCCCUUGGAGGUAGGAAAGUUAAAAACUCUAGGUAUAUUAAAUGUCUCCAACAAUAUGUUAUCAGGAAAUCUUCCAAGUAACCUUGGUAGCUGUGAGAGUUUAGAAGUCCUUCUCUUGCAAGGGAACUUCUUUGACGGCCCCAUUCCUUUAGCUUUAGGAUCCUUGAAAGGGAUUCGAGAGUUAGACCUUUCACACAACAAUCUCUCCGGUGAGAUUCCUGAGUUUCUAGCGGGGCUUGGAGGUUUGAAGCAACUUAACCUGUCUUUCAACGAAUUUUGGGGUGCACUGCCAGUUAAAGGUGUCUUUAACAAUGCAAGUGUCAUUUCAGUUGUCGGAAACACAAGACUUUGCGGAGGCAUUUCUGAUCUCCACCUUCCAAAGUGCAAGUCUAAAGAACCGAGGUCUCUUAGCAAGAAACUGACAAUCUCAUUAGUCUCCGCAUUCACUGUUCUUGGAGUAGCUAUGUUGUUGACAUUUCUCUUUCUUUGUUUCUUGAAAAAGAGAAGCAAAGAAACUCCAUCAAGCACAUUAAUGAACGAUGCGUUGCAAGUAUCAUAUAGUGCUCUCUUGAAAGCUACUGAUAGCUUCUCUGUAGCAAAUUUGAUUGGUGCUGGUAGUUUUGGGUCUGUAUACAAAGGAGUUCUCGGCGAAGAUGAAGCUCAGCUUGUUGCUGUGAAGGUGUUUAACAUGUUACGUCGGGGAGCAUCCAAGAGUUUUCUAGCCGAAUGUGAGGCACUCAAAAAUAUCAGACACCGAAAUCUAGUCCCGAUUAUAACUGCGUGUUCCGGUGUGGACUCUCGUGGCAAUGAUUUCAAGGCUUUGGUUUAUAAGCUCAUGGAGAAUGGGAGCUUAGAGGAGUGGCUGCAUCCAACUACUGAGACAGAAGACACACCAAAGAGUUUAAGUCUUGUUCAAAGCCUAGACAUUGCCAUUGACGUUGCAUGUGCAGUGGAUUAUCUUCAUAAUCAUUGUGAAACACCAAUAGUUCAUUGCGAUCUCAAGCCGAGCAAUGUUCUUUUGGACCACGACUUGACGGGACAUGUUGCUGAUUUUGGAUUAGCUAGAAUCCUCUCAAGACUAGCUGAUAACGUUUCAGCAAAUCAAUCAAGUUCCAUUGGAAUAAGAGGGACUGUUGGUUAUGCUGCUCCAGGUAUGUACUUUAUAUGCUAUUUUCAACUAUAUUUCUUGUAGCUAGCUAGGUAGUUUGAUUAAUGAGAGCUGCUUUUGUUAACAAACUGUGUUGUUUGAAUCGCAGAGUAUGGAAUGGGAAGUGAGGUAUCGACAUAUGGAGAUGUCUAUAGCUUCGGCAUUCUCUUGUUAGAGAUGUUUACAGGGAAGAGGCCCACUGACCACAUAUUUGUGGACAGUUUGAACCUUCACAAUUGUGUGAAGAUGGCCCUCGGCAAUCUAGUUUCAGGGAUUGCAGACUCAUCACUUGUUCAAGAAGGCAAUCCGAACCAAAGCACCAAUGAUGCUUUUGAAGAACGCUUGAGUUCAAUACUAGAAAUUGGAGUUGCAUGCUCUGUGGAAUCUCCACCAGACCGCAAGAAUAUCAGUGAUGCUGUAUCUGAGCUGAAAAAGAUUCGAGCCACUCUUGUUGGAUAGAAAGUUGGAAACUUUGCUAUUGUUCUGUUAUGGCUUUCCCUGCCCUCCAUGCUUUUAUUUGCUGUCUUUUUUCAAGUCUUGUUGCUCUUAUAUAUGCAUAAAUAAAGUUAGGUAAAAUACUACAUAUUUUACUCUGUAUUAGGCCUUGAUUGAGGGCACAUCAAUGAUCAAUUUCAUUAAAAAGAAUAGAAAAAUCAGCUUCUCUGUUUCCUAAUUCUUUACAUCGUGCCAUUCCAUAUUUCUAGUACAUUGGUUCAAAUGAAUAAAGCAAUAGGAGACUUAGGAGUACGGUCAAAUGAAAUGAUCAGUGAAGGUUCUAUGUGGUGAAAAGUCCACAAUUAACUCAGGACUAGUCUAAUGAAUACAAGUCUCAGUGAGUUAAGGUCAACUAAUUCUGUGAUAAACUAUAUGAAUGUGUGUGGCUUGUCUGUGCAAAUUUCUAUCUUGUUCUAGAACAAGCUUAUCAGAGAUUUAUUUUAUCAAAAUUUGGCAAGGUUCAUUGGGUUUACUAAGGUUUAGUGAACCAAAGCUACUUGAAUGGAAAUCAUCAAAAUCUACAACCAAGAGAGAUAUGAAGAUGCCGAGUAGAAUCCUCAGUAAAAGGAACACAGUUCCAGUACAAUUAAUAAACGCUCAAGAAUUUGAGUAUAAUGAAAUAGAAUCUAGUGUGCGAGAAGCAUCUGCUCCUAGAUUUAAAUUCAAUAAGAUCUACAAAAGGAUCUUUCAUUAUAGAUUCUCACAGAUUCAAGAUUCUUGAAUUAACUGUUCCAGCCACAGGUGGAGAAACAAAUAUCAAGUUGAUAACUCCUAAAGAAGUAAGUGAAGCUUUCCAGAAAAAAUAUUCAUAUAUGCAUAUUGGCGCGGUCCAAGUAGGAAUAAAACUCUUAGCCAGAGAUGGUAUUGACUGUUCGGUUCUAUGUGUCUUACAAGACGAUAAAAUAACAGACUUCAAGAAAAGUCUAUUAGGAACGGUGGAAGCUUGUUUGUGCAACCAAGUUGCAUAUUUCAAUGUAUUUUCAAAUUUCACAACUCAUCUCAGAGAUGCUGCUCACUAUCUAAGAUUGAGAAUCAAGACAGAUGGGAUUUCCAUGAAAAAAGAAAUGAUGGAACUUGCGAUAGAUUAUCGAAUCUAUUAUAAGUUGAUGAGCUCAAAUGUGACUCCUAAUACCAGGUUUUCAAAUAGCUCUGUGAUUACCAUAUCUGUUCUCAGCAACCCAAAAAAUAAUUCUCAGCAAAAACAUGUCACAAAAUGGCAUGAAGUAACAUUCCCAAGAGAAUGGAAUCUGACCCCUCCUGUCAAACAGCUUGAAAGCUCCAAUGCUUCAGUUUAUGAAGACAUGGGAGGAAAGAUAAGCUUACAGUUUCAUAGGCAUUCGUUUGCUAAUUAUAAAGAAGCUAGUUCCUCUGGAACUAAAUCAGCAUAUCUUGAAGAAUCCUUUGAAGAAGAGGAUACUAAAAGACCUAUGAAAAUAUUUAGAGUAGGAGAGUUAAAAGAAUUAUAUGCACAAGCUGAAACUUGUGAAUCCAUAAAAGAAUUAGAAGAAAUCAUGCUCCAGAUUUCUCAAAUUCAACUUGGAAAAAAUAAGAGGAAGAUUCUUCCUUAUCAAGCUGCAAAAGAAGAACCAGAGCCAUAUGGAUCUUCGAUGGAAACAAAUGGUGAAAGGCAGACUCCUCCAGAUGGUGGCCAUACCAUAGUGCAGAACAUCACAAACAAUCCAACAAAGAUCAUUCGUGAAAAGAAUAUUAAACUUCCAAAAGGACAAGCUCCUACAGGAAGGUAUGGAGAACAAAGUUCUCCGAAGUAUAUCCUUACAGAACCCAAAUGGGGACAGUCUGUGUCCGAAAGAGGGGUUUAUUUGGAUUUAGACCAGGUAGGAGAUAAAAGAAAGACAAUAGACAACUGGGUUGCUAGUUUAAAGUUAACUCAGGCUCUAGUGUUAUCCAAAUAUGCCUACGAGGAAGCUCAUGCAUACUAUGAGUCGACCUUAACUGGAAUAGUCUAGAAAUGGUACCAGUCCUUUAAGAGAAGUUCUAAAUGGGCUGAUUGCCAGUCCUGUAAUGAUGCUGUAACACAAUCUUUGGAAGAAAACCCCCUCCAGUAUUUUACUGUAGGAGGAAUAGCAUUUCAAGUAAAUGUUUUACAACCCAAUAUCAAAAGUCGCCAGCGAAGAGUGGUGAUUAUAAGCUAAUUUUAAAGCCAGUUUGCUGUUACAAGAACAGCUUAAAGGGUAUAAUGAAAUAUUGGUAAAUGAAGAAGCAAGUUCAGAAGACUCUAAAUCAGAGGAAAAUUCCGAAUAUUAACGAGAGUUCUGAUGGAGAAGAAGAAUACAUCAGAGAGCAUAACCUAAAAGUAUAUGCUACAAGGAUAGACCAAAAGAAGAUUUCGACUCUCGCAGAAAUAGAAAAUUUGUUGAAACUAGUAAUCAGUGAAAAUCCUCAGUUGUAUUGGGAAAGAGACCCAAUAUAUUGUCAGCUAAGAAUGCAUGAUGCAAAUGCUAUUUACCAUGUUAAGGCCAUCCCUCACUAUAAGGAAGAAGAUAGGAAAGAAAUGGAAAGUCAGAUCCAAGAGCUGCUGGAAAAGAAGUUAAUCAGGCCUUCAAACAGUCCUCAUCAUGCCCCAGCAUUCUUGGUGAGAAAUCAUGCAUAACAAUUAAGAGGAAAAGCAAGAAUGGUGAUUGAUUACAAGGAUGUAAAUAAAAAGACCGUUAAAGACGGCUAUCAGAUAGCUCAGGUGAGAGUUCUCAUUAACAGGCUUAAAGGAGCGAAAAUCUUCUCUAAGUUUGAUGCAAAAUCAGGCUUUUGGCAAGUUAAGUUGCAUCUUGAUUCCAUAGCUUUUACAGCUUUUGGAACUCCUCAAGGGCAUUAUGAAUGGUUAGUUAUGCCAUUCGGUCUAAAGCAAGCUCUGUCUAUUUUCUAAAGGAAAAUGGAUAAUAUCUUCAAACCCUACUCAGAUUUUUGCGUAGUUUAUAUAGAUGACAUUCUUGUCUUCUCCAAAACUAUGAAUGAACAUCUAAAGCAUCUGGAACAGGUGUGUAAACUUAUUGUCCAAAAAGGAAUCAUUCUUGGACAGAAGAAAUUCAUCUUAUUAAAGGUGAAAUUGAUUUCCUUAGCAUUCAUGUGAAAGAUGGAGAGAUUCGUCUCCAAGAUCAUAUUGUUAAGAAAGUUAGUCAAUUUCUAGACAAUAUCCCAAAUGCAAAAUCCUUGCAAAGAUUUUUGGGAGUUGUUAAUUUUGCAAGAGACUUUAUCCCUCAAGUCAGUGGUCUCACUGCACUUCUCUCUCCAAAAACAAGUUCUAAAAAGAAAUGGUCUUUCACGGAAGAUGACAGUAAUACUGUCAGAAAGAUAAAAGAAUUAACAAAAAACCUCCCUCCUUUACGGUUACCUGAAGAAGGAGAUUUGAUCAUUUUGCAAACUGAUGCAAAUGAUUAUUAUUGGGCAGGAGUUGUUUUAGCUGUUGCCCCAAAUACAAAUCAUGAGAAGAUUUGUAAAUUCCUAUCAGGAAAGUUUAACGCAGCAGAGUUAAACUAUUCUACUGGAGACAAGGAAGUCCUUGCCUUAAUAAAAAGCAUCAAGGGUGCUGAAGUGUACCUAGGAAAUAAAUUUGUAGUAAGAACUGAUAACAAAAGAGUUAAAAAUUUCAAAAACUACAAAUUAACUGAUGCUGCUGAUAGAGGAAGAAUUUUGAGAUGGCAAAUGUUUUUAACUCAAUAUGAUUAUGAUGUUAAAAUGAUUGCAGGUGACAAGAACUAUUUGCCUGAUGCGCUUACAAGAGAAAUGGCGAUGUUUGAAAGAGAAGGUCGCAAUCCAAGAAGCCGGAAACCAGUAUCGGAAGAAAAAAAGCUUUGGGAAAGAUACAAGAGCGGUGAUAAAACCUUAGGACCUCUCCAGGAUGGACCAGGUUAUCAGUACAUUGUUUCUUAUGGAGCUGCUGAGUCAAGCCAACCUUCAGAAAGAAUCAAGCUAAGACUAGACCAAGCAUGGGAUGAGCUUUCAGAUCAUUCUAAAAAAGAUACAGAUCAGUAUGUUACUACUGAUGAAAAAAAGCUCGUAAGUGAGUUCUUGCUGUGUCCGAAAGGAUCAGCCUCAACUGACCAGUCUCAGGGGAAAAGACCGGCUAGCUUGUCUCAAACGGCAGACGGUAAAUGCAUAUCAAGUCCGUUUAUGGCUGCUGCUUUGCCAAAAAGCAGGAAUGCCUCUUUCAGGGCAAAAAAGCUACCUUUAGUCACUGGGAAGAAGGUCAUUCAUGAUCAAUCUUUAAAGAUCUUUCAAAAGCCAGUUUUCAGAACAGAUAGACUAUUGGCCUUUAAGCAGAAGAUUAUUAUUGAUAAUAUUCUGUAUUCUUUUUAUGAGGAAAAUGAAGCUCAUUUACUUCAAACCCUCAAAGCUUUAACUGAAGAAAUGUAUGGAGUCCAUACCAAAGAAAAAGAACCUCUAGCAGAAACCUCCAAGGUUGUCUACCUUGAAAAUCCUGAAAGUGCUAAAAUUCCAAUGAUAGCACUAAAAGAAUCUGAGUGGUAUAGCUUUCACAAUAUCUUAGGUGAAGGUAAAAAUGUUCUUCCAAGAACAUUAUCAACAGUCCCUGGCCCAUAUUAUGGGAGAUAUAUAUUUGGUUGAUGUUCAAGCAGAACACCCUCAGAAACAUAAGUUAUGGCUUGUAGAAAACGGUUUUGUUCAUAAUCUAUGGACAAAAACUAAUGAAGACUUGAAGGGUUUUCCUGAAAUAAUAUCUGAAGCAGUCAAGAAUAUUAGACCUGAUGGAUGUAUCUUAAGGUUAAAAUUCAUUUCUACUCUUCCAGAAUGGGCAGUGGUAGAUGGUUAGAUGAAUUAUAAUCCUCCAUAUCAUCAUGUCAGGUUAAUCCAAAGCCCAAUUCAAAAAUCAGCCAUUGCAGGUGGCAAUGGUAGACCAAAUCAAAGCAUCCCCUGGAUGAAGGCUAUGGCUAUAGCUAUUAUCAAAGAUAUGGUUCUAAGAGACUAUGAUUCAAGUCUUUUGGCAAGUGGAGAAAAAAUAAUGGUCACUUGCUAUAAUCACCCUCCACUAGAGAAUUGUGAUUUUUUCACAGCUCUUAUGAGGAAAGAAGUGGACUGCACUCUGGCUACCUCGGUAUGACUAGAGAAAGUUGAGAAGGAUGAAAAGUAUAAGAUUUCUUAUCCUUUUGAUUCAGAUCUUGACAACGAAGAAGAAGAUGACACGGCACGUGAAGAAGAAUACAACUGUCCCAACUCCUUAGUGGGAUAUGAUGAAGAUCCAGAAGAAUAUCACAACAUAGUAAAUAUGUUGGAAGCAUGAAUGGUGGCCGACGCAUCAGGCCAAACAACUUUUUUUUUGAUAAAAAGAAAAAGGGCUACCAACACAUGAAGACAGUAGACUUUACUUUUCAUAAAAAAAAAGGUAAAGUUUUCAAGAUAGGAUUCCUCUUGUCUCCCACAAUGUAUAGGCUUGUUUUAAUUCUUGUUUGGAGUCCGCUCCCUAUAUAAGGAGCCUUAGGCGUCAGUAAGAAGGCAUCGAGAAGGAACUAGAGAUAGAAGUUGGAAGUUCUCUCAACCUUCCUCAAGAAGUAAGAUAGCCAAAAUAAAAUCUUUGUAAUAUAGUAGUGUGAGAAUAAGAGAGUGUGUGCUAUAGUCAUCUGGUGUAGAGUGUUGUAUAAUACAAGUAAGUAUUUAUCUUGUAAUCAUGAGUAACUAAACAGCCUUUAGCUAUUUACCUAAGAGCGAGGCUCUGAGUUUUGUAUUUGUAAUUAUGUUUGAAUAAAUUCUUCUUAGUGCUCAAAAUCCCGUCACAAAAAUAUAUUGCAUAUAUAUAUGUUAUAUUUUGCUUUUCUAUUAAGAAAAAUUUCUCUGCAUGUUAAUUAGAUCUUAACCUAUUUAGACAGCAGUGAUUCCGCCGUAGUCAGUAACCAGGUCGAUCAUGGGUCUUUAGGUGAAAAUUUUCGACACGUUGAAUGCUAGUUCUUUUUAAGAUGUGCUCUUAAUUAUUAUUUGCAGGAAAUGAUAACUUUGUGGUAAAACCUGUAAAGCAAGUCAUUAAUAGGUCACCCUUGUCCACUUGUUAUAUAAAACAAUAGAAAAGCAGUUUGCAUCUCAUGCAGCACUGCAUAAUAGACAUACCCGGAGUAGCUAUGAUGUUGACAUUUCUCUUUUUUCUUGAAAAAGAGAGGCAAAGAAAAUUCAUUAAGCACAUUGGCGGACUCUAUGUUGCAAGUGUCGUACAAUACUCUCUUGAAAGCUACUGAUGGCUUCUCGGCAUCAAAUUUGAUUGGUGCUGGUAGUUUUGGGUCUGUAUACAAAGGAGUUCUCGGCGAAGAUGGAGCUCAGCUUGUUGCUGUGAAGGUGUUUAACAUGUUACGCCGAGGAGCAUCCAAGAGUUUUCUAGCUGAAUGUGAGGCACUAAAAAAUAUCAGACACCGAAAUCUAGUCCCGAUUAUAACUGCAUGUUCAAGUGUGGACUCUCAAAGUAAUGAUUUCAAGGCUUUGGUUUAUAAGUUCAUGGAGAAUGGGAGCUUAGAGGAGUGGUUGCAUCCAACUAAUGGGACAGAAAACACACCAAAAAGUUUGAGUCUUGUCCAGAGGUUAGACAUUGCCAUUGAUGUUGCUUCUGCGGUGGAUUAUCUUCAUAACCACUGCGAAACAUCAAUUGUGCAUUGCGAUCUCAAGCCUAGCAAUGUUCUUUUGGACAAUAACUUGACGGGACAUGUUGCUGAUUUUGGAUUAGCUAGAAUCCUCUCAAGACUAGCCGAUAACGUUUCAGCAAAUCAAUCAAGUUCCAUUGGAAUAAGAGGAACUGUUGGUUAUGCUGCUUCAGGUAUGUACUUACAUGUUAUUUUGUACUACUAUUUUUUUUUGUAGCUAGCUAGGGUAGUUUCAUCAAUGAGAGCUGUUUUUGUUAACAACUGUGAUGUUUGAAUCGCAGAGUAUGGAAUGGGAGAAGUGAGGUGUCAUAUGGAGAUGUCUAUAGCUUUGUUGGCUCGUGCUAAGUUGUCUGCUAUCCAACAGGAUAUUGCUUCUAAUAGUUCCAAUGAUAUCAACUUUGAAGCUGAAGUUAUGGCAAAGGCUGAGGUUCUUGCGGCUGUCAAGCGUCAGGAGGCUUUUUGGAGAGACAGAGCUCGUGUUAAAUGGUUUACUGAGGGUGAUAAAUGCUCUAAGUUUUUCCAUGCUUAUGCCCGAAACAAGGCAAUGCGAUCUUCAAUUAAUUGUUUAAAAGCUGGGGAUAAUCUGAUUACUGCUCCACAAGGUAUUGCGAGUCAUGUUGUUGAAUUUUAUUAAUCUCUAUAUGCCUCCAAUGUUGCUCCUGUUGGUGUGGCUGAUUUUUGCAGGGUCAUUCCCUCCUUGGUUUAUGAGGAGGAUAAUUUAUUAUUGUCUUCUAUUCCCACUUCAGAAGAGGUUCGACGUACUGUUUUUUCUAUGGAUCCCUCUAGUGCUCCUGGUCCAGAUGGGUUUCUGGGAUCUUUUUUACCAUUGUUGGGAUAUUGUCGGUGAGGAUGUCAUCAGCUUUGUGCAAUUCUUUUUCCAACAAAAUUGGUUGUAUCCAAAUGCCAAUUCUAACUUCAUUGUGUUGAUUCCAAAGAUUGAAGGGGCGAAUGUGAUCUCUCAGUUUAGGCCCAUUGCUCUGGCCAAUUUCUUAUUUAAGAUUAUUCCAAAAAUUAUGGCAGAUCGAUUGGGUCCUAUAGCUUCCCGUAUUAUUUCUCCUCAUCAAGCCGCUUUUCUUAAAGGUCGGAGAAUUGCAGAUUGUAUUAGUCUUGUUUCUGAGGGUUUCAACCUAUUGGAUAGGAAAAGCUACGGAGGUAAUGUGGGUAUUAAAGUUGAUAUUGCCAAAGCUUUUGACACUUUGAAUUGGGAGUUUCUUUUUGAGGUUUUGGCGCGGUUUGGGUUUUCUUCAAGGUUCAAAAAUUUAAUCCAGACUAUAUUACAAUCUGCUAGACUGUCAGUCUUGAUUAAUGGGACGCCACAUGGUUUCUUUUCUUGUGACCGAGGGGUACGACAAGGGGAUCCUUUAUCUCCCUUAUUAUUUUGUAUUGCAGAGGAAGCUCUAAGCCGAGGUUUGUCUUCUCUAUUUGCUGCGAGAAAGAUUAAACCUAUUGCUAUGCUGAGGAGAUGUUUGUUUACUCAUGUGCUCUAUGCGGAUGAUUUUUUUAUCUUUUGUCGAGGGGAUGUUUCUUCUCUUAAUUGCCUGCAACUCUUCUUAGAUGAAUAUGCUGCUGCUUCUGGCCAAUCAAUAAAUAAAGAGAAGAGUACUUUUUAUACUGGGGACAACUAUUCUCAUCGUCGCAGAGUGAUUAAACGUCAAUUGGGCUUCAAGUUAGGUACUACCCCUUUUACUUAUCUUGGUGUUCCUAUUUUCAAAGGCAAGCCUCGACGUAUUCACCUUCAAGCAAUUGCUGAUAGGGCUAAAGCUCGUCUAGCUGGAUGGCAUGGCAAGUUGUUGUCCAUGGCAGGUCGGGUUCAAUUGGUUCAUGAUGUAUUCCAGAGUCUACUUAUUCAUAGUUUUUCUGUUUAUAUAUGGCCCUCUUCACUCUUGAAACACUUGUUGACGUGUGCUAGAAACUUUAUUUGGUCUGGGGAGUUAUCUAAAAAAAACUUGUUGUUGUCUCUUGGCGGCGGGUUUGUGUGCCAAAGCAAGAAGGUGGUCUGGGGCUACGUGAUAUCAAGUCUCUUAACAUGGCAGCUCUCAUAUCCCUUGGUUGGUCUACUAUUACAUCGGGAUCUAUAUGGAAUAGCUAUGCUUCUCAACGAUUUUCUAUAUGCUGCAAUAUGAAGGAUCGAUAUUUUCAGUCCUCUGUUUGGCAUGGUUUAAAGGUAGCUCUUCCUUUUAUUUUUCAACACUCUAAGUGGCUUAUUGGUGAUGGCAAAUCGGUGAAUUUAUGGAUGGAUAAGUGGUUGAAUGCUCCUUUUAAUUGAUAAGUUGCACGCUUCCAGUUUUCCUAAGCGUUUGACAUGUAUGGUGGACGCUUUUAUCACUAACCAACAAUGGACUUUGCCAAGUCAAUUUUUAGUUUCUUUUCCAGCUUUGGCAAAUGAAAUCCUUCAUAUCCCGCUCCCAGUUGAACCUGAGAAGGAUUUAUUAAUUUGGGAGCCAUCAACCUCAGGUUCAUUCUCUUUCUCUGAUGGAUACCAUCUUAUUCGGCAAUCUUUUUCAGAAGAUGUGUGGGUUUCUAAGGUUUGGCGUUCUUUCAUCCCCCCUCAGUUAUCUUUACUUGCAUGGCGUCUCUUUCAUGAUAAGUUACCUACUGAUGUGCGGCUUCAAAAAGGGGUAUCCCAAUGGUGUCAGUUUGCCAGCUUUGUACUUUUGCCUAUGUUGAGGAUUCUACUCACUUAUUUGUCACCUGUUCUUUUGCUCAACAUGUUUGGCAAUGGUUGGCUUGCUGUUUUGGGACUAGGUUACCGACUAGUGGUACUAUUGGUGAUUUAUUUGCCUAAGUGUUUCUCUCCUCAAUUGAAGAAUAUUUGGCUUGCCAGUAGCCUUUAUGCUCUUAUGGCUAUAUGGAAAGCGCGUAACAAGAUUAGAUUUGAGGACAUAAGCCCUUCACUCAUGCGAAUUUUCUCCUCUCUCAAGGCUUGGAUUCGCUUUGCUACUCCUCACAUUCCAGGUCAUUCGAAUGGUAAGGUUGACUCUCAGUUGUUGGUUGGGUUGGGUAUUCAACCUAUUCAUAAAAAUCAAGCAGUGCCUCGGCUAGUUCUCUGGCACCCUCCUUUUUUUCCUUGGAUUAAAUUGAAUACCGAUGGUCUUGCAAAGGGUAACCCAGGAUCUGCAGCUUGUGGUGGGGUUUUCCGCGACACCCAUGGUCAUUACAUUGGUGGUUACUGUAAAGGAUUAGGUCACAAUUCGGCUUUCUACUCGGAGCUUAUGGGUGUGAUCAUUGGGGUUGAAUAUGCCUUUCAAUUUGGUUGGCAAUGCCUCUGGCUGGAGAGCGAUUCGACUAGUGUGAUUACAUGUAUUAACUCUUCUUCUUUUGUUCCUCCUUGGCCGCUUUGAAUUGCCUGGCUCACCUGCUUAGCACGUAUUCGUACGUGACCUUUCGUUGCUCUCAUAUUUUUCGGGAAGGAAAUACAGUGGCUGAUAGAAUGGCAAACAUUGGUCUUCUCUCUCCUUCCCUAGUAUGGCAUGCUUCUCCUCCAUCUAAUCUAUCUCCUUACCUUCGUAUGGAUGAUCUGGGAUUUCCUUAUUUACGAUAUGCUUAACUUUUACUUUAUGGGUUGGUGUUCUUUUAGCAUUUUCUUUCGUUUUAGGGGUAAGGUAUAUGUCCCCCCCUCUGUUCUGGAUGUAAUUUUCUUUUCUUUUUUAUUUUUAUUAAUAAAAUAAAAAUAAGGGGACGGGCGGUGGGCUCCCAGAGUGUGGCAGACCCUUCUCCUUUGGGAUUGAAGGUGGGACUUGUUCCCUACAUUGUCUGCCUCCGAGGGGCUAAUAUCGCCUAAUCCUUUAUUAUUUAAAAAAAAAAAUGUUUACAGGGAAGAGACCCACUGAGCACAUGUUCAUGGACGAUUUGAACCUUCAUUAGUGUGUGAAGAUGGCCUUGGGCAAACGAGUUUCAGAGAUUGCAGAUUCGUCACUUAUUCAAGAAGGCAAUUCGAGGCAGAGCAUCAACGAUGCUCUUGAAGAAUGCUCGAGUUCAGUGCUAGGUAUUGGAGUUGCAUGCUCUGUGGAAUCCCCAACAGAGCGAAAGAAUAUCGGUGAUGUUGUGUCUGAACUGAAAAAGAUUCGAGCAACUCUUGUUGGAUAGAAACUUUGCAACUGUUCUGUUAUGGUUUUCACUGCCUAUCAUGCUUUUAUGUGUUGCGCGCUUUAAUUUCAUGUUUGUUGCUGUUAUAUGUGCUUGAAUAAAGUCAUGUAUACAUUAUGUUUAGUUCUCUAUUUCUCUAGUUGUAUCCUAAUUCCUAUACCGUUUCAAGUUUUGUUGUUUGCUUUUAUCUUCGUUUAGUUGUAGUUCAAUUUCUAGGCCAUUGAAUGAAUAAUGCAAUAGGAAUAGCUGAUAUGAGGCAAUG